Molecule: ribosomal RNA, 208 nt
Filed under: uncultured bacterium
Lineage: Bacteria
Description: partial 16S ribosomal RNA
Rfam family: Bacterial small subunit ribosomal RNA
Source: RNAcentral
ACUCCUACGGGAGGCAGCAGUCGGGAAUUUUGCGCAAUGGACGAAAGUCUGACGCAGCAACGCCGCGUGAGGGAUGAAGGCCUUCGGGUUGUAAACCUCUUUUCUCAGGGAAGAUAAUGACGGUACCUGAGGAAUAAGUCACGGCUAACUACGUGCCAGCAGCCGCGGUAAUACGUAGGAGGCGAGCGUUAUCCGGAUUUACUGGGCG